Long non-coding RNA from Eriocheir sinensis (Chinese mitten crab), 796 nucleotides. RefSeq lists it as uncharacterized. The transcript is spliced from 4 exons. The record is from RefSeq and is a predicted model, not a curated record. NCBI's taxonomy places the organism in Eukaryota, Metazoa, Arthropoda, Malacostraca, Decapoda, Varunidae.
UAGUUGUAGAAUAGUGGUAGCUCACAUACUCACAUCUGAUUAGGGUUUCAUAGAGGUUGUUGUGUUAGUAUUUCCGUGGGUAGUGUUAUGAGCCUGGUGAUAGUUUGACAAGGCUUUGGUGGAGGUUGUUGUGUUAGUAUUUCCAUGGGUAGUGUUAUGAGCCUGGUGAUAGUUUGACAAGGCUUUGGUGGAGGUUGUUGUGUUAGUAUUUCCAUGGGUAGUGUUAUGAGCCUGGUGAUAGUUUGACAAGGCUUUGGUGGAGGUUGUUGUGUUAGUAUUUCCAUGGGUAGUGUUAUGAGCCUGGUGAUAGUUUGACAAGGCUUUGGUGGAGGUUGUUGUGUUAGUAUUUCCAUGGGUAGUGUUAUGAGCCUGGUGAUAGUUUGACAAGGCUUUGGUGGAGGUUGUUGUGUUAGUAUUUCCAUGGGUAGUGUUAUGAGCCUGGUGAUAGUUUGACAAGGCUUUGGUGGAGGUUGUUGUGUUAGUAUUUCCAAGGGUAGUGUUAUGAGCCGCCCUGUCCAAGAGAGCUGUGUGAGUGGAGCCCCCCCCCCCUCCCCCCCCAAUACGUGAGAUGCAUACUCCAUACGAGGGCGGACAAGGCCCCCGUAUAUUCGUAGCAACUGUGCGGGGGAGAAGAACUGGCGGAGACGCUAUCAAGACUUCGCUACCCAGACUUCGCUACCAAGACUUCGCUACCCAGACUUCGCUACCCAGACUUCGCUACCAAGACUUCGCUACCCAGACUUCGCUACCCAGACUUCGCUACCCAGACUUCGCUACCCAGACUUCGCUACCAAGA